UACGGGGGGAGCAAGCGUUGUUCGGAUUUACUGGGCGUAAAGGGCGCGUAGGCGGCGUGACAAGUCACUUGUGAAAUCUCCGGGCUUAACUCGGAACGGUCAAGUGAUACUGCUGUGCUAGAGUACAGAAGGGGCAAUCGGAAUUCUUGGUGUAGCGGUGAAAUGCGUAGAUAUCAAGAGGAACACCUGAGGUGAAGACGGAUUGCUGGGCUGAUACUGACGCUGAGGCGCGAAAGCUAGGGUAGCAAACGGG
RNAcentral lists this ribosomal RNA (253 nucleotides) under uncultured bacterium. RNAcentral's name for it is "partial 16S ribosomal RNA". It matches the Rfam family "Bacterial small subunit ribosomal RNA", at positions 524 to 776 of the family's 1533-position model. The record is from RNAcentral.